RNAcentral lists this transfer RNA (73 nucleotides) under Stegodyphus mimosarum. It matches the Rfam family "tRNA". Rfam says of the family: Transfer RNA (tRNA) molecules are approximately 80 nucleotides in length. Their secondary structure includes four short double-helical elements and three loops (D, anti-codon, and T loops). Lineage: Eukaryota; Metazoa; Arthropoda; Arachnida; Araneae; Eresidae. The record is from Rfam by way of RNAcentral.
AUUUUCGUGGUGUAGUGGUCAGCACGCUUGACGCGUAUUCGAGAGGUCCGUGGUUCGAAUCGCGGCGAGGGUA